GACGAACGCUGGCGGCGUGCUUAACACAUGCAAGUGGAGCGACGAACCAGGGCUUGCCCUGGGGCAAAGCCGCGAACGGGUGAGUAUCACGUGGGUAACGUGCCCCGAUGACCGGGACAACCCGAGGAAACUCGGGCUAAUACCGGAUGUGCUGUUCGGUCGUAAGACCGUCCAGUAAAGGAAGCUUCGGCCUCCGCAUUGGGAGCGGCCCGCGGCCCAUUAGCUUGUUGGUGAGGUAAAGGCUCACCAAGGCAACGAUGGGUAGCUGGUCUGAGAGGACGAUCAGCCACACUGGGACUGAGACACGGCCCAGACUCCUACGGGAGGCAGCAGUGGGGAAUCUUGCGCAAUGCGCGAAAGCGUGACGCAGCAACGCCGCGUGAGGGAAGAAGGCCUUCGGGUUGUAAACCUCUUUCAGUUGGGACGAAGGUUCAGGCGCGAAUAGCGACCUGGACUGACGGUACCUUCAGAAGAAGCUCCGGCUAACUACGUGCCAGCCGCCGCCGUAAAAC
Molecule: ribosomal RNA, 512 nt
Filed under: uncultured bacterium
Lineage: Bacteria
Description: bacterial SSU rRNA
Rfam family: Bacterial small subunit ribosomal RNA
Source: RNAcentral